AUUUAGGUAGCUUAAGAUAAAGCAUAUCUCUGAAGAAGAUAAGAUGGGCCUCUCCCUAGAUA
Molecule: transfer RNA, 62 nt
Filed under: Amynthas gracilis
Lineage: Eukaryota; Metazoa; Annelida; Clitellata; Crassiclitellata; Megascolecidae
Description: tRNA-Phe
Rfam family: tRNA
About the family: Transfer RNA (tRNA) molecules are approximately 80 nucleotides in length. Their secondary structure includes four short double-helical elements and three loops (D, anti-codon, and T loops).
Source: RNAcentral